CGCAGCUUCUCUCUCUCGCACCUUCUCUCUCGCUGUCUCUCUCUUCCUCUCUCUGAUCUCUCCACCCACCUCGAGCUCUCUCUCGCAUCCUCUCCCUCCUCUGUCUCUCUGUAUCUCUCUUCCUCUCUCUCUGAACUCUCUCGGGGGGCCCGUUGCCGAACGCCCUACACACGGCAGUAGGGGUAGGGAUUUGGGGACCGUGAGGAUUAGGGACUUCAUUGAAUGGGCUCAGUGUCUUUUAUUGACUUGGUCUCCAGAUAUAUCCCCUCAUAUAGCAAUGAGAUAUUUAACUUUACCAGUAGUGUCUGAUUACUUCUGUUUGACUUUUCAAAUGGGUAGUACUAUGGCUGCUUGUGAUUGUAGUAAUUCGAAUCCUACUUUCCCCAUAUUUGUCUUGAUUCAGGUUUUUGGUCAUGUUGAUUCAAGUUUUUAUUUUUACUUAUAUCCAUAUUUUGUUGUUGAAGCAUGUAUGUUUCUGGAUCUGUUCAUUUAUUUGUACAUUUAGUUUUCUUAGCUUGAUUCUAUUGCCACUUUUUUUUUGUCAUGUCUUCUAUAUGGAACUAAUUAGCACAAUAUGAUCCAAUAGUCUAUCCCAACACACCCUCACUGCCUAAGCAAUACAAGCACAUCACCACAAUAUGAUCCAACAGUAUCCAAACACACCCUCAUUGCCUAAGCAAUACAAGCACAUCAAUUCUUUUCAUUCCAAACCAACAGUCACCGACGUCCUUGACUUCCCAGACACAUUCACUGAAAAAGAAAAA
Magnolia sinica is the source of this 764-nucleotide long non-coding RNA. RefSeq lists it as uncharacterized. The record is from RefSeq and is a predicted model, not a curated record. The transcript is spliced from 2 exons. NCBI's taxonomy places the organism in Eukaryota, Viridiplantae, Streptophyta, Magnoliopsida, Magnoliales, Magnoliaceae.